CUCAUGGUCUUCACGGCUUUUCUUAUAGAAUAAUUCUGUUCAUUAAUAAGUUUAAUAUCCUCUUCCAAGUCGUCUGUGGUCCAAUUAGUUUUAUUAGUCAUUCUACGAUGAACUUUCUACAAAUAAAAAUAAUACUGUUUUACUAAGAUAACGUAGUGUGGGCAAUAGGGAUCAAUAUGUAGGUAAUUAACAAUAAUAAUUUAACUGUUAACAAUUUAACUGCUGAAUUGUACGAUUAAAUGCGACGACUAUUACACAUUACAAGGACAGAAAGAAAUAUUUGUUAUAUUUGGACAUUCUAAUUUAUCCACUCUAAAAAUUAGAUGAAAAUGCCGCAAAAUCUUCACUCUCCGAUGUGUCGUGCGAACUGAGGUAGUCAACGGUAACGUUCGAGAAGUUCGUGUCGGUUGGUCGAGUUCAGUUUGUUUUAUUUUGAGGUGAUCACCAUUGUCAACUGAAUUCCAUUACCUACAUUUCCCCAACUUGCUAAAAUCACAUCUGGGAGAUAGACAGCAAGAGGAUUGGAUCACUACAACAGGAAGUACUUCAGGUCCUUUCGAUCUCUUUCUUUUGGUUCUGUACUUCGAAGCUCCUCUGCCAGUAUUCUGAUGAAACAUAAGUUGUACUGUCCAAGAUGUCCCUGAAUGGCCUAUCUGAGGCCAAUGCGGUUGCCGUGGAGCGAUGGAAGUGUGAUGGUAUUGACCGCUCACUUAGUUGGGAUGAUCACUUAUACUCUGAGUGCUAAAGUCUAAACAGUUUAUGCGCUCUGAUUCACAGAGACUUUUCAUUCAGAGCAUCAAAACCAGUCUCGCAUUUCACGUCGGAAAUUGUUCUGGAGUUCAUCCAAGCGUGAGUAAACGUUUUCAAGACCAAGAAAGAAAUAUUAGGUGCAUUCUCAAGCUGCACCCGAGGACCAGUUGGACUCAGUAUCCCUGUAUGCAACUCAACUUAUUUUUCAAUAUUAUCAUUGAGUAAAGGCAUAUCAAUCUUUGUCUAGCGGCAUGGAUGGGGUUGAAAACAGAGAGGAAUUUAAUGAAAGACGAU
This is a long non-coding RNA of Cylas formicarius (sweet potato weevil), 1044 nucleotides long. RefSeq lists it as uncharacterized. The record is from RefSeq and is a predicted model, not a curated record. The transcript is spliced from 3 exons. Lineage: Eukaryota; Metazoa; Arthropoda; Insecta; Coleoptera; Brentidae.